CCCUUAGAUGUUCUGGGCCGCACGCGCGCUACACUGACGGAGGCAGCGAGCGUGUCCUUCGCCGGCAGGUGCGGGCAAUCUUGCGAGUCUCCGUCGUGCUGGGGAUAGAUGGUUGCAAUUGUCGAUCUUGAACGAGGAAUUCCUAGUAAGCGCGAGUCAUCAGCUCGCGCUGAUUACGUCCCUGCCCUUUGUACACACCGCCCGUCGCUACUACAGAGUGCCCGUGUCCAAGAAACGGUCGGACCUGGGCGGCCUCUCCGGGCGACCGGAGGGCCGUUACGGGGAAGACCCUUUAUUUGACGCGGGUCGAUGAAGUAAAAGUCGUAACA
RNAcentral lists this ribosomal RNA (329 nucleotides) under uncultured eukaryote. RNAcentral's name for it is "partial 18S ribosomal RNA". It matches the Rfam family "Eukaryotic small subunit ribosomal RNA", at positions 1470 to 1796 of the family's 1831-position model. The record is from RNAcentral.